Long non-coding RNA from Bos taurus (domestic cattle), 724 nucleotides. The record is from Ensembl. Lineage: Eukaryota; Metazoa; Chordata; Mammalia; Artiodactyla; Bovidae.
CUCUUCAUAUAUUUAUUGGCUGGUUGGUUUCGUCCCUCCCCUUUUAAAAGCAUCUGUUUAAAUCUUUUGCCUAGUUUCUAUUGGGUUGUUUGUAACAUACACCCCGGCGUGAGCAUCACUCUAAUUUUGGCCAUUGUGCAGGGUACAAAGCUCCCACUGCUAGAGAGCCAGUCUGUCAACGUUCUACCCAGGGUCUUUUCCAACACUAUGGAAAAGACUGGAAUGGGGGCAUGAUAGUUGAUGGGCAGGCGCCCCAGCUCCUGACCUUCACGGAGACAGCUCUGACUCUCUCAGGAGUCCUGGAGGUCCCACCGCCUACAGCAGUGACCUUGACAACGUCCUGCUGUCUGAACACCAUUCAUAUAAACGCCAGCCUCUCCUUGAUGCUCAGAAACACCAGCUCUGUUGUAAAUCAGGCAGCCACAUAUGUGUGAAACUGUUGGUGAGUGCUCUGGCCUAUUUCUGCAUGUCCCAAUUAAAUUUUAGAACUGUAUCUGAAUUGUAUGCCUUUCUGGUUAGAUUUAUUUCUAGCCACUUGAUCUAUUUUUGAAGUGUUGUAAAUGGUGGUGGUUAUAUUAGUUAUCAGAAACUUAUGACCAACCUAGAUAGCAUAUUCAAAAGCAGAGACAUUACUUUGCCAACAAAGGUCCGGCUAGUCAAGGCUAUGGUUUUUCCUGUGGUCAUGUAUGGAUGUGAGAGUUGGACUGUGAAGAAGGCUGAGCAC